This 63-nucleotide transfer RNA is filed under the name Dicrocoelium dendriticum. Its description in RNAcentral is "tRNA-Tyr". Lineage: Eukaryota; Metazoa; Platyhelminthes; Trematoda; Plagiorchiida; Dicrocoeliidae. The record is from RNAcentral.
ACCGGUUUAGUAUAAUGGUUAGUACGUGGGGUUGUAGCCUCUGAGGUGGUCAUUCAACUGGGA